CUUGAUUUUGGCUAUUCCUGAAUACUUUUAUGUUUUGUUUCCUUGACAUGGCUUUCCUUAUCGAACUCGUGUAUUUCUGACUUCCUUGACCUUGGCUUUCCCUUGACCAUUCACUGUCUUUCAACGUAUUAACCUGGCCAUUCUAAGGACCGGUUUACGUUCUGUCUAUCUUCUAUAGCCUAUGUAGAUGUUACAUAGUUUUGCAUGUUGGAUCACACUGGUAGUCGCGAC
Molecule: non-coding RNA, 231 nt
Organism: Pelobates cultripes (western spadefoot toad)
Lineage: Eukaryota; Metazoa; Chordata; Amphibia; Anura; Pelobatidae
Source: the annotation of a GenBank genome assembly